AGUGAACGCUGGCGGUAGGCCUAACACAUGCAAGUCGAACGGCAGCACAGUAAGAGCUUGCUCUUACGGGUGGCGAGUGGCGGACGGGUGAGGAAUACAUCGGAAUCUACUUUUUCGUGGGGGAUAACGUAGGGAAACUUACGCUAAUACCGCAUACGACCUACGGGUGAAAGCAGGGGAUCUUCGGACCUUGCGCGAUUGAAUGAGCCGAUGUCGGAUUAGCUAGUUGGCGGGGUAAAGGCCCACCAAGGCGACGAUCCGUAGCUGGUCUGAGAGGAUGAUCAGCCACACUGGAACUGAGACACGGUCCAAACUACUACGGGAGGCAGCAGUGGGGAAUAUUGGACAAUGGGCGCAAGCCUGAUCCAGCCAUACCGCGUGGGUGAAGAAGGCCUUCGGGUUGUAAAGCCCUUUUGUUGGGAAAGAAAAGCAGCAGGUUAAUACCCCGCUGUUCUGACGGUACCCAAAGAAUAAGCACCGGCUAACUUCGUG
This 492-nucleotide ribosomal RNA is filed under the name uncultured bacterium. RNAcentral's name for it is "partial 16S ribosomal RNA". It matches the Rfam family "Bacterial small subunit ribosomal RNA", at positions 29 to 507 of the family's 1533-position model. The record is from RNAcentral.